Molecule: long non-coding RNA, 522 nt
Organism: Suricata suricatta (meerkat)
Lineage: Eukaryota; Metazoa; Chordata; Mammalia; Carnivora; Herpestidae
Exons: 2
Source: RefSeq, a predicted model, not a curated record
CUCUUCACAUCAACAUAAACCCAAUAUUGACAUGGAAACAACUUUCUCCACUAAUAAGUAACCAAUUACUUAAUAAUUUUCUUUCUCAUCCUUACUUAGGGUCGUGAUUCUCUCCUGGAGCAUGCAACAGUAUUUCCUGGGAAGCUUGUUGGAACGGGUUAUUGGGCCCCACCAAUGUUUCCGAUGUAGUAGAUCUGGGCAGGACUCAAGGAUUUGGGUUCCCCGGCAAUGCUGAUUCCACUGGUCCAAUAACCACAAUUGGAGAGCUACUGAUUGAAAGCACCUGGAAUGGAUCACUGUCUUCACAACAUGCUGGCUGAUCUUCAGAAAAGUCUCAGCCGUUCAAGACUCAAUUUUACCAUUUAUAAAGCAUGCACCCAGGAAAAGCCAUGUGAGCACACAGCUAGAAGAUAGCUGUCCGUAAGCCAGGAAGCAGAUCUUCACCAGACACUGCAUCUGCCAGCAUCUUGACCUUAAACUUCCCGCCUCCAUAUCCGUGAGAAAUAAACUUUUGUCAUUUAA